This is a long non-coding RNA of Cairina moschata (Muscovy duck), 2191 nucleotides long. The record is from Ensembl. Lineage: Eukaryota; Metazoa; Chordata; Aves; Anseriformes; Anatidae.
AUGGAGUAUGUGAGAUUUUUAAAAUAUCGUUUGUUUCUUAGACUGCUGGAGAAAGGACACUGCAAGGGACGAAGUGACUCUGCUAUCACACAGCUCAAACUGCUUCAAAGGUCUGCCCAGUGUGCAGUGGUUGGCAGUUUUCCUCAACUUUGCAAGAGAGACAGAGAGAUUUGGUUGGAAUGAAACCUUGCUCUCCGAACAGUCUGCUUGAGAUGCAGCAUUGAAAGAUCACUCACAAUCAGUUUGUGGCCUUCCUCUGAAGGAACCUUUCCUGUCUCUUCUGUAAGUAUUUGUUACCAAACAUUUUAUACUUUUCAAUGAGUUACACAUUUUGUUCAAGUUCCAUUUAGGGCAGUAGAGAGCCUUUGUGAACGUCUCUGUUACUGGCCACAAGAGUCAAUAUCGAGUUGUUAUACUGGUGCAGCAGUCCAGAAUUAUAAUGCAGCAUCAGCUUAUGGGACUCAGGCUUAGUUCAGUGACAUUGUGUGAUCAAUUGAUCUGGAAUUAAUAUGUGCAUUUCUGGAGGACUUCUGUUAAAUAUGGGGACAUAUUUGAUGCGAUGGGUAUUGCGUGUUUGAGCUCUGAGAAUAAAGCGUGUCGUAUUCCGUGCUGUGCAAGAGUUAAACAAGUAUAGGAAUCAGUCAACUAGCAUUUCAGCCCAUCCCUGCUGAUACCUGCCCUCAUGGCAUGGAAUCCUUCCUUACCCCAGUCCUUUCCAACCUAAUACCAACCUGCUCUUCUUAUCUGGGUAAACUAAAUAUGCUGUAUUCACCUUGACACCUAACAAUAUCAGAACUAAAAACCUGUUACUGGUUUCUUUGGAAAAUAUGAAGUAGGGUUCUGUUUUUGCCUGUUCUCCUUCACUUGCGUUUGGCUGCCGCUAUGUAAGUUACCAGUGCAGUGACUUUUUUCAUUGGAGAAAAUACAACAUAAAUCCAGAUAAUUGUGUUCUUAAGAACUGGAGCAGUUUAAAAAAAAAAAAAAUCAUUUGAGUUUUGCUUUUUCUUUUGGGGGGGCACGGGGAAUGGAACUCAGGGAGAAUUUGUUUGUUUUCUUUUAGUUUUUAAUCUUGCCAGGCUCUAAUCCGUGAUAGUUUUGUGUAUUUAGAACAAAAGUUUACAUUUUGCAUUGAGUUUUUAAUACAUAUUGGCAGUGAAAUCUACUGUUUUGUAACAAUGAAGCUUUUUGUUGUGAUAUAAAGGGAAAUAUAGAACUAGCACAUCAUAAUAUUUACUAAAGUAAAGAUAGACCAAAGUUUUCCAAAUGUCCACCAGCAUUUUAAGCCACUGUUUUGGGGUGUUCAAGCUGGAGCUAUUGCCAAAAAUAAUGAGGACUUCUAAAUUUAUGUUUAGAACUCCAUGUCCAAAUCUGUCUGGACUUUGUGUUACUUCAGAUCUCCAUUUUGCAAUUUAAAUUCGUGUCUACUACAUGUUCAGAGAGGAAAGUAGAUGGCUGUUAAAGUGCUGCCUGGAAUUAAAAUUAAAAAAAAAAAAAGGCAUAGCACAGUAAGAAAAAAUAGCAUUUUUAUAUUUGGGAGAGAAAUUAAACUGCAACUUUUAGUUCAAGUUGAGUUCUGAUUGUUGGAAUUUCUUCAAAGGCAUGCUGACAUGCAAAGAGACAUUCAGAAUUUUUUCAGGUGCACGCUGAAACAAAGAGCCUUCUUUUGCUGAUGGCAGAGCUAAAAUAUGUGACUUUAACAUUUAAAGUUGACUCGGUACUUUUGCCAUGCAGAAAGAAAUGGCAGACUUGCUUCUCCCCCGCCCUAUGGGCAAAAACAUGAGAUAUGCUGCAGUGACUGCCAAAGGUGAUAUGACAAUGCCAACUACCAAGGAGACGUAUUUGAGCUGACCUCUCAUGCCAGUGAUCUCCCCAUAUUUCUUUCCAUUCCCCUUUUCCUUUCAUUAUAAGGUGUCCCAAAUCUGUAAUUUACAACGUGCUGUUCCCGUUUUCCUCUGAUAUAUUUGCUACAAAUAAGUAGGAGUCUAUGCGCGUGCAUAGCUCCCCGUGGCAGUGUCAGGCCUGUGAGACGAGGGGAGCAGAGGCCCCCACAGAAUACAACAUGGCUUACGUCUAAUGUGACAUUUAUUUGACUCAGAAAGGCAAUUGAUUAAAGUCCCAUCAGACCUUUGCCAUCAUGUAUUAUGUAUUUAUCCAGCAGGGGCGGUUCAUAACGGUCCCUGACAAAUCCUAU